This 253-nucleotide ribosomal RNA is filed under the name uncultured bacterium. Its description in RNAcentral is "partial 16S ribosomal RNA". It matches the Rfam family "Bacterial small subunit ribosomal RNA", at positions 524 to 776 of the family's 1533-position model. The record is from RNAcentral.
UACGUAGGGUGCGAGCGUUGUCCGGAAUUACUGGGCGUAAAGCGUGCGUAGACGGUUAUUUAAGUCGGGUGUGAAAGCCCCGGGCUCAACCUGGGAAUUGCAUUCGAGACUGAAUAGCUAGGGUACGGUAGAGGGAAGUGGAAUUUCCGGUGUAGCGGUGAAAUUCGUAGAUAUUGGGAAGAACACCGGUGGCGAAGGCGGCUCACUGGCUCGUAACUGACGCUCAUGCACGACAGCGUGGGGAUCAAACAGG